UUUUUCUUUAUGCAAAAAAAAAAAAAUGCAGUGCAAAGGAAAGGCCAACCAGUGUUAAAUUACAAAGCUGAACCUUGCAGUGAACAGAAUCACUUGGUGGUGGAAAUCUUUAUCAAAUUCAAUCUCUUGAAAAUCAUGCUUGACGUUUUAACUUUUUUUUUUUUUUUUUUUUUUAAGUUGACGCAAAUGAGUAUGAUGUCCUCCUAACCCCUCCCCUGUGAUCUUGUGGGAGACUCCAUUCCACUAAGUUUUGACUGUUGUUAAUACUUAUUUACAUUGGCUGUGAUUUGUUUUGUUUUUUUACUGCUGAUGGGGUUUGUGACUAGUUUGUUUUUCAUAAUUUACCUGGGUUUCUAUUUUGGCUUUGGCUAAAAGGUCAUUGGUUCUUAUUAUAAAGGACUCUGGUGUUGAUGCUGAUGUCCAGUUUUGGUGAACUGUCUUCCCUGUUUUGCUUAAAUAAUAGCUGAGUCGGGCCACAGAGCUUUGUUUAAAAAUGAAAAUGACCCCAACAUGUGCUUUGUCAUUUUAUUGAGAAAUGCCGUUGUAACAGUGUUGAGCCUUGAAACUUAUGCCCCUCCAUUCACAAUCUAAAAUGAUUUUCUAAUGUUAAUGAAUUUUCGACGUGCACUUGAUUUUUCUGCAGUAUGAACUAAUAACGGGCGUUUUUGCAGAUGCGUAAAAUAUUUUUUUUUCCGGAUGUGUCAGAAGUGAAGUAAGUUGUUGAAUUAGAAUAACUGUCGUAACGUUUUCAGACCCGGGGGCAAAUUUUAUAUGUGCGCUGUUUCCAUGGUUACGCUGUGACACGGUAGCGUUUUUAUCACCUGCAGUGUAGCGGUGCUCUCCGACCAUGGAGGAUUCACGCCGGUUUAUCAGUAAAGAAAAAUAAUCAUACCGUAUUAAUGUGAUGAUGUGGUUAUGUCUGUAAUUCAGCAGUGGAUCAUCACAAUGAUGACCCUCCACGUUAACUCCUCUGUACCGACCGCUAAGACUCUGACUUCCGCAGCUGCUGCGUUGAACAGCAGCAGCCAUCAUCGCGGCCCAGAUGCUGCAGGAUUCUCCUCACACAGCAACUACAGACUGGGAGCAGGAGGAGGACGAGUCACGGUGUCUCAAAGUCAUCACUUCAGGAGGAAAUAUCCUGUAAUCGAGCCGCUCAGGAAGACCAGGGAUGCCAAGUCAUUGAUGACAAUUAAACAGCCACCAAACCUGUCCAAAGAUGACAAGGUUGAAUUAGAAAAUAAGGAGCCAGAGGACAUGUGUGGGAAACACUUUCUCUUUGAUAACAAAUGUGAAGGGUUGGAGAGAACCAGAACGGUAGUUCCUCCACUGCCGAGAGACUACCAUGUUCACAGACCUGGGAUCAACCGCCAUCUUUUUGGCCUCCCUAAGGAUCUUUCUCACAGAAACCCAGGGCAGCCCUUCACUCUGGGCUUUCCUCAGGGAUAUGAACUGAACCCAGGUCCGACCAUCCUCGUUCCCUCUACUUUAUUCCUCAACGGUAGAAAUACCUUGAUGGUAGGAAACUGCAAGCUCAGCAGGCCUAAGGUGAAUUAUCCAUCAUACACACAGAUGACUGUUAAAGACAAUCACAAAAGUGAGUCACACCACUCCUUUCAUUCUUAUUUUUAUAUUUAAAGAAAGUAGUUUGCUAGGCUAACUUUUUGCCACCUUUUAUAACUGCAACAUUUUAACGCCUGGGUAUCAUUUGAACAAGGUUUAGGUUUUUUUAUUUUUUGCAGCUAUUAGCGACACUUGCAACUGUAACCCUUAGUUUAUAUAUAGUGAUUUUCAUUUUUUUACUUUGUUCAAUGAAAUUUUUAGCUUUUUGGGGUUAUGUAUUUGCUUUUUAUGAAGUAACGUUUUGCAAUCAACCUGCAAAUUACAGCUGCAUUUUUAGGCUUUUUGCUAUGUGUAUUUUUUGAUAUUUCAAAGUACUAUCAUUUCUUCUGUUAUGUCCUAUGGCUAUUUUAAAUCUAUUUUUACAGGUUUUUGGCCAUUUUUGUGUUCUCAAUGUUUCACCAAUUAAACUGGUAUUACAGUUCCUAUAUACCCAUGUAUAUGUACAUGGGUAUGUACAAUAUGUGUUUAUGUAUGUAUAUGUAUACUAUAUAUAUACAUAUAUAUGCAGUUAAAUAUUAAGAAAUUAAUUCUACAAUGGAUCUGAAAGAAAUACUGCUGUACAAUGAAACAAAAGCACCGUGGAGCGUUUUAAGGCAGCGAAUAAUGCGCUGCUUAUGGUCAGUCGUAUCCAGACCCGGUGGUCGGAGCGCCUCGCUCCUUCGUCCACAGGAUAUCUGAGCUGUCCUCUUUGGAGGCAGAGACGGUGAGAGAGGAGCGUCUUAAGAGACGGAGACAAUCUAGAAAAGCUCCAUCCUGA
Molecule: RNA transcript, 2377 nt
Organism: Cynoglossus semilaevis (tongue sole)
Lineage: Eukaryota; Metazoa; Chordata; Actinopteri; Pleuronectiformes; Cynoglossidae
Gene: c3h8orf89
Gene name: chromosome 3 C8orf89 homolog
Exons: 7
Source: RefSeq, a predicted model, not a curated record